Molecule: ribosomal RNA, 523 nt
Filed under: uncultured Ralstonia sp.
Lineage: Bacteria; Pseudomonadati; Pseudomonadota; Betaproteobacteria; Burkholderiales; Burkholderiaceae
Description: bacterial SSU rRNA
Rfam family: Bacterial small subunit ribosomal RNA
Source: RNAcentral
GGGAGGCAGCAGUGGGGAAUUUUGGACAAUGGGCGAAAGCCUGAUCCAGCAAUGCCGCGUGUGUGAAGAAGGCCUUCGGGUUGUAAAGCACUUUUGUCCGGAAAGAAAUGGCUCUGGUUAAUACCUGGGGUCGAUGACGGUACCGGAAGAAUAAGGACCGGCUAACUACGUGCCAGCAGCCGCGGUAAUACGUAGGGUCCAAGCGUUAAUCGGAAUUACUGGGCGUAAAGCGUGCGCAGGCGGUUGUGCAAGACCGAUGUGAAAUCCCCGAGCUUAACUUGGGAAUUGCAUUGGUGACUGCACGGCUAGAGUGUGUCAGAGGGGGGUAGAAUUCCACGUGUAGCAGUGAAAUGCGUAGAGAUGUGGAGGAAUACCGAUGGCGAAGGCAGCCCCCUGGGAUAACACUGACGCUCAUGCACGAAAGCGUGGGGAGCAAACAGGAUUAGAUACCCUGGUAGUCCACGCCCUAAACGAUGUCAACUAGUUGUUGGGGAUUCAUUUCCUUAGUAACGUAGCUAACGCG